CAGGACGACGCUGGCGGCGUGCUUAACACAUGCAAGUCGAACGGAUUAGUUGGGAGCUUGCUCCCGGCUAAGUGAGUGGCGGACGGGUGAGUAACGCGUGAACAAUCUGUCUCAUACAGGGGGAUAACGCAUCGAAAGAUGUGCUAAUACCGCGUAGGACCACGGGAUCGCAUGGUUCUGAGGUGAAAGGCGAAAGCCGGUAUGAGGUGAGUUCGCGUCUGAUUAGAUAGUUGGUGAGGUAACGGCCCACCAAGUCAACGAUCAGUAGCCGACCUGAGAGGGUGAUCGGCCACAUUGGGACUGAGACACGGCCCAGACUCCUACGGGAGGCAGCAGUGGGGAAUAUUGGGCAAUGGGCGAAAGCCUGACCCAGCAACGCCGCGUGAAGGAAGAAGGUUUUCGGAUCGUAAACUUCUGUCCUAUGAGAAGAUAAUGACGGUAUCAUAGGAGGAAGCCCCGGCUAACUACGUGCCAGCAGCCGC
Molecule: ribosomal RNA, 482 nt
Filed under: uncultured bacterium
Lineage: Bacteria
Description: bacterial SSU rRNA
Rfam family: Bacterial small subunit ribosomal RNA
Source: RNAcentral